This 309-nucleotide unclassified non-coding RNA is filed under the name plant metagenome. RNAcentral's name for it is "partial contains 5.8S ribosomal RNA, internal transcribed spacer 2, and large subunit ribosomal RNA". The stretch from base 1 to 105 matches the Rfam family "5.8S ribosomal RNA", at positions 50 to 154 of the family's 154-position model. The record is from RNAcentral.
GAAAUGCGAUAAGUAGUGUGAAUUGCAGAAUUCAGUGAAUCAUCGAAUCUUUGAACGCACAUUGCGCCCCUUGGUAUUCCAUGGGGCAUGCCUGUUCGAGCGUCAUUUGUACCCUCAAGCUCUGCUUGGUGUUGGGUGUUUGUCCCGUCUCCGCGCGUGGACUCGCCCCAAAGUGAUUGGCAGCCGGCGUACUGGUCCCGGAGCGCAGCACAUGUCGCGCAAACGAGUGCCUUGGUACGGCGGCGUCCAUAAGCCCCUCUCUCACGCUCUUGACCUCGGAUCAGGCAGGGAUACCCGCUGAACUUAAGC